Molecule: RNA transcript, 4798 nt
Organism: Xiphias gladius (swordfish)
Lineage: Eukaryota; Metazoa; Chordata; Actinopteri; Istiophoriformes; Xiphiidae
Gene: klhdc3
Gene name: kelch domain containing 3
Exons: 11
Source: RefSeq, a predicted model, not a curated record
GCGUGAACUGGAAUCGUAUCGAACUCGUAAAACUACCAGUAGAAAAGAUUAGUUCGUUCGCUUUGGGCGCGCACUAGAUAGCACUGCCUAUCGAAACACCAGUUAACCACAACCGACUCGACCUGAAGGUUUCAGUGGUGUUUGCUUGAUGGGGUCCAAGCGGGCGACAAAGUGAUGGUCUAAGGACUCGCAGACACAGAGGUGCUCGCGCGUGGAAUGUUGCGCUGGUCGGUGCACCUAGAAGGAGGGCCGCGGAGAGUCAACCAUGCUGCUGUGGCGGUGGGACACAAGGUGUACUCCUUUGGAGGCUACUGCUCUGGGGAGGACUACGAGACACUCCGUCAGAUUGAUGUGCAUGUCUUCAACACAGUGUCUUUGCGCUGGAUGAAGUUGCCUCCAGUGAGGACGGGAGGACAUGAACGUGCCUGUGAGGUGCCGUAUAUGCGUUAUGGCCACACAGCUGUGCUGCUGGACGAUUUUAUCUACCUCUGGGGUGGGCGUAAUGACACAGAGGGGGCCUGCAAUGUGCUUUAUGCCUUUGAUGUCAACACCCACAGAUGGUUCACACCUAAGAUUUCGGGGACUGUUCCAGGGGCAAGGGAUGGCCACUCAGCCUGUGUCCUGGGGAAGGCAAUGUAUAUAUUUGGAGGAUAUGAGCAGCUGGCUGACUGCUUCUCCAAUGACAUCCACAAGCUGGACACCGUCACCAUGGUUUGGUCAUUAAUUAAUGCCAGAGGCACUCCGGCACGCUGGAGAGACUUCCACUCGGCCACCAUCAUCGGGACAAAGAUGUUUGUGUUUGGAGGGCGAGCUGACCGCUUUGGUCCCUUCCACUCCAACAACGAGAUCUAUUGCAACAAGAUCAAAGUGUUUGACACAGAGACCAACUGCUGGCUGAGCACCCCUUCAACACAGCCACUGCCAGAGGGACGCAGGAGUCACUCAGCCUUUUCCUACAACGGAGAGCUGUACAUAUUUGGAGGAUACAAUGCCCGCCUGGACCGGCACUUCAACGACCUCUGGAAAUUCAAUCCAGAAGCCUUUUCCUGGAAGAAGGUAGAACCGAAGGGGAAAGGCCCAUGCCCACGUAGACGGCAGUGCUGUUGUAUGGUUGGAGAUCGAAUCAUCCUCUUUGGAGGAACGAGUCCCUGUCCAGAGCAAGGAAUGGGGGAUGAAUUUAACCUCAUGGAUCAUUCAGACCUGUAUAUCUUAGACUUCAGCCCUAAUUUGAAGACAUUAUGCAAAAUAGCUGUUAUUCAGUACAGUCUGGAGCAGUCGGGACUCCCGCAUGAUAUCAGGUCAGACAAGCAUCCCCUUCUCAAAAAUUAGUGCUGCUUUGUCAUAGAACUGACAUAUUUAUGUUCAUGCUGUUUGUAUUAUGAUGGUCAUUGUUGCCACUACUAUAUCUCUCUGAAUAAUGAGGCUGUUUUUCAGAGGAGCAAAUUGUGACUCAUUACCAUUAAUUUAAUCAGUGCAAGUUUUACUUACACUUUUGUCUGACUUUACUUUAAAAAGUCCCUACAUUUCAAAUGUGUUUAAUUAUAAUCUUCCAAUUAACAGCAUAAAGAUUUGUUUAUAUAAAAAUCUGAAAAUCAUGGUGAAACAUUAGCAUAAUCUGCAGGAUGCUUUCAGUUUGUUCAUUGUCUGUGCACCUGUGUACAAUUUGCACAAAAGGUACUGCGCUGACAAGCCAAAGAAAAUAGACCAAAACAGGAAGAGGACUUUCUCAUUCUAUUUAUUUGUAGCAUGGAAGUGUUAUAGGUCCACAAAUAAAGAGUCCAAAUGAUGUACGCCAAAAUGGUACCUAGAAGGUCACAAUCUUGAAAGAAUGAAGACCGCCCAAAAAAUUCUCCCAAAACUACUGCAGAUCCACUUUACAGCCACACACACCAACACAGGUGGGAAUUGGCAGCCAUGACCACCAACAGCAACAUCAGCAGGCCCAUCUUCUCCUCCCACGGCUGAUGCUGCUGAAUGUGAAGCAGAACCAGAGCUCUGUUUCAGGACACUGGGCUUUUAUCUUUCUAAUCAACUGAGCUCUGAGGGACUGUUUUUGUAGAGUUUGGAUCUGUAUUGGAUUUAUUUUCCACAUUCUUCAAGUGAAAACUCAUUACUGACCAAAAUAUCCUGCCUAUGACUUCCUUGGACACAAUGAGUUUUCUCAUGUCUAAGGAUAUUUUAACCCAUGAAGACAGUGAGACAGAUUAUGUGAGACAGAAAUCGAUGACACUUGUUCACCUUUUUCUUUUCUUUCUAGUCUCUCUAGCAAUCCAAUCAGCCUAUGAUAAUCAUAGACUUCAAAUCUUGCAUUUACAUUUACUCAUUUGGCAGACGCUUUUAUCCAAAGUGACUUACAAUUGAGGCAACUUAGGGUUCAAUGUCUUGCCCAAGAACGCUUCGGCAGGCGGACAGGAGGAGCUGGGGGUCGAACCGCCAACCCUGCUCCACCACCUGAGCCACAGCCGUGCCCAAUCUUAAGCACAGGAGGAAACGAGAACUUCAGCCAAAGGUCUUGAGAGCUCAUCUCUUUGUUGAGGAUGUCAUCCUGAUGUCACACUCAACAGAUCUCCCCGAAGAAACAAAUGUGAACCUUCUGUUCCAUUUAUAAAGAGACUGAGGUGAUCAUGAGUUUAUAUAUCUUGCAGUUUUAACUUGGUCAUAAAACCAUGUAGAACUACCAUGUCCAUUUGCGGCAAAUUAAGUUAUUGUACACAGUAUAUGGAGAAGGCUAACUGACUACUCUGGUGAUAAGUGCAAGGAGACGGAGUAUUUGGUACCACAGUGUUGAGUAUAACGCUUGUGAAAGGUUCUGUUUGACUGGUUUUCAAUGCUUAGCUUUUCCCCCUACUUCAUCAUUACUUGGCUGGCACCCCAAUGCUCUCAAGUGUCUCAAAGGUGACUUGCAAGGCAGCUGAGGAAAAACUGUCUGCCUUGUAAACUAAUCAAGCCCAUCUACCUCCCUCAAUAGCAUGUAUCAUUGAGUCUUUAAUAAGACUUCCCACAUGAGACAUCCACUUUUGACGGGGAAGUUUGUAUUUGUGGUUGUCUGCUGUAUUCUUCCAAGAAAUGUCUUAGUGUCACUGGAAGUGUGCGACUCGUGCCACUACCCCCCACCCCACCCCUUUAGUUUAUUUUUCAGUGCCAAAUGUGGAAAGGGAAUCAUGAUGCAAGUAUAUACUGUGUAUGUGUAUAAGCACAUGGUCCUGUCUAUACAUAAUCCUAGCCCACCUGCUUCAGUUUGCCUGUUGUUGUCAGGGAGAUCAUCACUAAUAUGCAUAAUGUAGUUGUUCCUCUUAUAGACAAUCCUACAGCUUUCAGAGACUCUCCUCGUGACCUGCGUCUUCAGAGUACAGUGAAAAACCAGGAAAGUGUGCACAUGUGUUUGUGUACAACUACGAGCAAAGCUACACUUGAGCAGAUGUUCUAAAUGCAUAAGGGCUGUUCUUAGAUUACACACUCACCACACAGCUUGAAAAUAACUUGGAAUAGCUCAAAAUGGGGAUGUCACAUUGUGUUUUCAUUGUAUUAAUAAUAAUUACGACUUUUAGACCAAAACUUUGAAAACAUAGGAAUUUUGGUGGGGGUUUUUUUCAGAUUUUUAUCUCCAUCCACUUUAAUUAAAGGAUAGGGUUGAUGGUAUUCUGUAUUGUUGAUGUUGUCAACAACAACAACAGCUACAACAGCUGGGCACUCUGAACAAUGAACAGUUUUCAGUCACUGAUUUGCUGCACUUAUUUGAAGUAGCAGGACGGUGUAUCUAGGAUAGACUCAAACUCAUUUCCUUAUUGUUAUGAAGAAACAUGUCACCCAGUGCAGCUCUUUGAUUCAUUUAUGUGUUUUUAAUAGUUUUUGUAUAAUGUUGAAAGUCUACAGAGUAAAAUAUAUCAGGCUGUUGAUUCAAAGACAAUCCUUGUUAUAUCAGUUAAUCGUUGGUUUUGGUCUUUGUUGACAGUAAGAAAAUAUAGAAUAUCACCAGACUUAUCCUUUAAAUCUUAUAAAUAAGAAUAGUAAGUAAUACAGCAUGAUGUUGAAAUGAAUGACUUGGUGAGGAUGAAUAUACAGGCAGAAGAGAUGUUAUUAAUACUGCCUAUUUAUUUUAACCUUUUCAUGGAUGCAAAUGGAUGGAUGGAUAUUAGUUGUAUCUGGUCCUGAACAGUACAAAGCCCUAAAGUUUGCAAAACUAAGAUGUGAAUAGGAACUGUGUUACCACAAACUUGUGAGCUGCAUCAGUGCUUUUUAGUCCUGGUCAUUGGGACAGAGGGUGCUGUUGUUUUCUGUCCUGCCAGAUAGUUGAAUUUAAUCUGUAUCAGUUAGGCCAUGACCGGCUUGUUAGAAUUAAACCCAGCAGGGCUCUGGGUCCCAAACAUCAGGACUGAAAAACACUGACCUACAUUCUAAAUGUUUACAAAUCUAAGUAUUUCAUGUAAAGCAGUGUAAAACAAUCUUAAAUGCAGGUUUAAAUCGCCAAGUAACUGCACUAAAGCCAAACGUGGCAUGUCGGGCCUUACAGAGAGGAGACAUGUUGAUGCUGCUUUUUGCCUAAGAAGACUCCAGAGUUUGAGACAUUUGCCUGCCCAAACCAAGUCUGAAUUUUAUUUACAGACCGGUGGUGCCAAUGUGACUCAGCGAGUCUUAUGCCCUCUGCACUGCACAUGCACAUGGACAUAUCACAAACUUGAAAUUCCUCAGUACUAUACAACAGGUAAUGCAGUGAAACCACAGGGAAGCUAAUCAUGUGUCCAUACACACACACACACACAUACACACACACACACACACACACACAUUAAAAAAAAAA